AGGCCCAGAAGAGCCGCAGUGAAUAGGCCCAAGCGACUGUUUAUCAAAAACACAGGUCUCUGCUAAACCGUAAGGUGAUGUAUAGGGGCUGACGCCUGCCCGGUGCUGGAAGGUUAAGAGGAGUGGUUAGCUUCUGCGAAGCUACGAAUCGAAGCCCCAGUAAACGGCGGCCGUAACUAUAACGGUCCUAAGGUAGCGAAAUUCCUUGUCGGGUAAGUUCCGACCCGCACGAAAGGCGUAACGAUUUGGGCACUGUCUCAACGAGAG
RNAcentral lists this ribosomal RNA (267 nucleotides) under Staphylococcus epidermidis. RNAcentral's name for it is "partial 23S ribosomal RNA". It matches the Rfam family "Bacterial large subunit ribosomal RNA", at positions 1764 to 2030 of the family's 2925-position model. Lineage: Bacteria; Bacillati; Bacillota; Bacilli; Caryophanales; Staphylococcaceae. The record is from RNAcentral.